CUCAAAUGAUGAACCUAUUGACGGGCGGACAGAUUGUCUGUGCUGAAUGUCAUGUUCUGAUCUG
This is a small nucleolar RNA of Perognathus longimembris pacificus (Pacific pocket mouse), 64 nucleotides long. RefSeq annotates it as small nucleolar RNA SNORD43. NCBI's taxonomy places the organism in Eukaryota, Metazoa, Chordata, Mammalia, Rodentia, Heteromyidae. The record is from RefSeq and is a predicted model, not a curated record. The transcript has a single exon.